RNAcentral lists this ribosomal RNA (357 nucleotides) under uncultured bacterium. RNAcentral's name for it is "partial 16S ribosomal RNA". It matches the Rfam family "Bacterial small subunit ribosomal RNA", at positions 338 to 710 of the family's 1533-position model. The record is from RNAcentral.
CCUACGGGCGGCAGCAGUGGGGAAUAUUGGGCAAUGGACGCAAGUCUGACCCAGCAACGCCGCGUGAAGGAAGAAGGCUUUCGGGUUGUAAACUUCUUUUAAGGGGGAAGAGCAGAAGACGGUACCCCUUGAAUAAGCCACGGCUAACUACGUGCCAGCAGCCGCGGUAAUACGUAGGUGGCAAGCGUUGUCCGGAUUGACUGGGUGUAAAGGGCGUGCAGCCGGAGAGGCAAGUCAGAUGUGAAAGCCGCGGGCUCAACUCGCGAACUGCAGUUGAAACUGAUUGCCUUGAGUAUAGGAGAGGUGAGCGGAAUUCGUGGUGUAGCGGUGAAAUGCGUAGAUAUUAGGAAGAACACC